GCGGCUAUAGCUUAACGGAUAGAGUAGCGGUUUCCGGAACCGCUGGUCCCAGUUCGAUUCUGGGUAGCCGCGCUA
This 75-nucleotide transfer RNA is filed under the name Candidatus Gottesmanbacteria bacterium RBG_13_37_7. Its description in RNAcentral is "tRNA-Arg". It matches the Rfam family "tRNA". Rfam says of the family: Transfer RNA (tRNA) molecules are approximately 80 nucleotides in length. Their secondary structure includes four short double-helical elements and three loops (D, anti-codon, and T loops). Lineage: Bacteria; Candidatus Gottesmaniibacteriota. The record is from RNAcentral.